RNAcentral lists this ribosomal RNA (386 nucleotides) under uncultured bacterium. RNAcentral describes it as "bacterial SSU rRNA". It matches the Rfam family "Archaeal small subunit ribosomal RNA", at positions 339 to 727 of the family's 1478-position model. The record is from RNAcentral.
UCGCGAAAACUUCACAAUGGGGGAAACCCCGAUGAGGGAAUUCCAAGUGUCAGCACAUUGUGUUGACUGUUCCCGUGUCUAAAAAACACGAGAAGUAAGGGCCGGGUAAGACGGGUGCCAGCCGCCGCGGUAAUACCCGCGGCCCGAGUGGUGGUCGAUAUUAUUGAGCCUAAAACGUUCGUAGCCGGUCUUGUAAAUCCUUGGGUAAAUCGGCCAGCUUAACUGUCCGAAGUCCGGGGAGACUGCAAGACUUGGGAUCGGGAGAGGUCAGAGGUACUUCUGGGGUAGGGGUAAAAUCCUGUAAUCCUAGAAGGACCACCGGUGGCGAAGGCGUCUGACUAGAACGAAUUCGACGGUGAGGAACGAAGCCCUGGGGCGCAAACGGG